GUACUUAACAUUUGGCAGGGGAGAUCAUGAAGGAGGUUUUCCCAUUGUGAGGCUCAUCCAUUGCCCUCAGAGUGUGCUGACCCCAGCAAUUUCCUCAAAUGCAGGGAAUUCAGCUAUAAAAUUUGUGGUAGCAUAAUUUGUAGUAUUCAAAUGUGAU
Podarcis muralis (Common wall lizard) is the source of this 157-nucleotide small nuclear RNA. Its record names the gene U1. It matches the Rfam family "U1 spliceosomal RNA". Rfam says of the family: U1 is a small nuclear RNA (snRNA) component of the spliceosome (involved in pre-mRNA splicing). Its 5' end forms complementary base pairs with the 5' splice junction, thus defining the 5' donor site of an intron. The record is from Ensembl. NCBI's taxonomy places the organism in Eukaryota, Metazoa, Chordata, Lepidosauria, Squamata, Lacertidae.